UCUCAAAGUAAAAGAUAUCUUAGUCGCUUACAUCAGAUGUAUUCCACUUCGCUCGCCAACAUGGAGUUCUCCAGGAGGAGUAACCUUCCAGAACAAAUGAGGAGUAAGCCUGCCUCUCCAGGGAUGACCACAGCACCCCUCACCCUGGAACAAGCAAGUCAGAAGUCCCGUGUUCUGGAGGCUAAGGCAGCAAGUCGAUACUGGACUAACUAUGUGGAUUGAGAAAGCGAAUGUAGUGUCUCACCUGCAUGAAAAGAAUGAAGAAAUGUUGAAACUCCCCCCAAAAUAAUUAAAUGGCAGAUUUCUUUUUCUUCAAAUUUAUGACAAGAAAAUAUGGUAUUAUCUAGUAAAUAAUAAUAUAAACCCAGAAAUAUGAAUAAAAAUCAGUAGAAAUAAG
RNAcentral lists this long non-coding RNA (397 nucleotides) under Bos mutus (wild yak). RNAcentral describes it as "lncRNA (ENSBMUG00000001239.1)". The record is from RNAcentral. Lineage: Eukaryota; Metazoa; Chordata; Mammalia; Artiodactyla; Bovidae.